Molecule: ribosomal RNA, 330 nt
Filed under: uncultured eukaryote
Lineage: Eukaryota
Description: partial 18S ribosomal RNA
Rfam family: Eukaryotic small subunit ribosomal RNA
Source: RNAcentral
CCCUUAGAUGUUCUGGGCUGCACGCGCGCUACACUGAAGCGUUCAACGAGUAUUCACCUUGCCCGGGAGGGUUGGGUAAUCUUUUGAAAACGCUUCGUGAUGGGGAUAGAUUAUUGCAAUUAUUAAUCUUCAACGAGGAAUUCCUAGUAAGCGCGAGUCAUCAGCUCGCGUUGAUUACGUCCCUGCCCUUUGUACACACCGCCCGUCGCUCCUACCGAUUGAAUGGUCCGGUGAAAUGUUCGGACCGCGACAAGGCGGACGGUUCGCUGUCAGCUUUGCUGCGGGAAGUUCAUUAAACCUUAUCAUUUAGAGGAAGGAGAANUCGUAACA